Molecule: ribosomal RNA, 464 nt
Filed under: uncultured Klebsiella sp.
Lineage: Bacteria; Pseudomonadati; Pseudomonadota; Gammaproteobacteria; Enterobacterales; Enterobacteriaceae
Description: bacterial SSU rRNA
Rfam family: Bacterial small subunit ribosomal RNA
Source: RNAcentral
CCUACGGGAGGCUGCAGUGGGGAAUAUUGCACAAUGGGCGCAAGCCUGAUGCAGCCAUGCCGCGUGUGUGAAGAAGGCCUUCGGGUUGUAAAGCACUUUCAGCGGGGAGGAAGGCGUUAAGGUUAAUAACCUUGUCGAUUGACGUUACCCGCAGAAGAAGCACCGGCUAACUCCGUGCCAGCAGCCGCGGUAAUACGGAGGGUGUAAGCGUUAAUCGGAAUUACUGGGCGUAAAGCGCACGCAGGCGGUCUGUCAAGUCGGAUGUGAAAUCCCCGGGCUCAACCUGGGAACUGCAUUCGAAACUGGCAGGCUAGAGUCUUGUAGAGGGGGGUAGAAUUCCAGGUGUAGCGGUGAAAUGCGUAGAGAUCUGGAGGAAUACCGGUGGCGAAGGCGGCCCCCUGGACAAAGACUGACGCUCAGGUGCGAAAGCGUGGGGAGCAAACAGGAUUAAUACCCGGGUAGUC